AACUAACGCUAGCGGCGUGCCUAACACAUGCAAGUCGUACGAGAAAGUCGGCUUCGGUCGGCGAGUAAAGUGGCGCACGGGUGAGUAACGCGUGGAUAAUCUACCCUUGAGUUGGGAAUAACGUGCCGAAAGGUGCGCUAAUACCGAAUAAUACUGAGUGACUAAUGUUGCUUAGUCAAAGAAGGCCUCUGCUUGCAAGCUUUCGCUGAAGGAUGAGUCCGCGUACCAUUAGCUAGUUGGUAGGGUAAUGGCCUACCAAGGCAACGAUGGUUAGCUGGUCUGAGAGGAUGAUCAGCCACACUGGAACUGAGACACGGUCCAGACUCCUACGGGAGGCAGCAGUGAGGAUAUUGCGCAAUGGGGGCAACCCUGACGCAGCAACGCCGCGUGAGUGAGGAAGGUUUUCGGACCGUAAAGCUCUGUCGAGCGGGAAGAAAUGCAUGCUGGCUAAUAUCCAUCAUGCUUGACGGUACCGCU
This 477-nucleotide ribosomal RNA is filed under the name uncultured bacterium. RNAcentral's name for it is "bacterial SSU rRNA". It matches the Rfam family "Bacterial small subunit ribosomal RNA", at positions 29 to 482 of the family's 1533-position model. The record is from RNAcentral.